This is a non-coding RNA of Cinara cedri, 1130 nucleotides long. NCBI's taxonomy places the organism in Eukaryota, Metazoa, Arthropoda, Insecta, Hemiptera, Aphididae. The record is from the annotation of a GenBank genome assembly.
GCAAAAUCUUACUUUACCGCGAGUGUCCGAUAUGGACUUUACCCCAUUUGUCUACUUGAACACAGAAAACCUCCGUGAAAAAUGCCACGAAUUACAUAAUAUAACGCCGAUAUCUCUCUUAUAUUAUUUAAAAUUCUCUUCGUCUUUUUAUGUUAUAAUUUCGUUUAUGUUUAAGGCAAAUCCGAACGAAUAUUCUCACUUAAUAAUCUAUGUAUACUCGUUUCAUCAUUCGGCGAGAACUGCGCAUGCAAAUACGUUUCCCGUCAAAAUCGUAUUGUAAUGCGAUUCACUUUAAAGUGCCCAUCAUACGCCGUGCACAAAUCAUAUUUAUUCUACAAUGACUUUUCAUCAUGUAUAAAAUAUAAUAAUAUAUUCGUAUGUUUCUCAUUGUGUAACCGUAUAUUACGUAUGUAAUACACGCCGUGUAUAUAAGUCGGGUCGGCGAUUUUGAAGUCUCAAUUUAAAAGAAAAAAGAAAAAAAAUACUAAAGGAAUUGUAUCAUUACAACAUCGCAACAACUGCAUAUUUUACUAUAUUUACUAUGUAUGCAAUAUAAUCAAAUUACCGUGCCGAUCAAUGCCACAUCGACUGCUGCAGACCAUACGUGUCGGAUGAUGAUGGUUUUGGUUUACAGACGAGCGGGUACUUGGGGGGCCGCGCGCAUAACCUGUUGGAAAUGACGAGAUCGUAUUCGGAACGCCGCGCCGCCGAUAUAUUAUUGCCCAAUUUAAAAUAAUAUAAUCACAAUUUUCCCUCGGGGCUUCUGAAAUAAAUCCCUUGCGUAAAAUAAGCAGUCGUUUCGCCUAAAAAGGAACAGAUAGAUUCGAUUGAUGUCAUCAUCAUAGUAAUAAUAUGUCGAGGUAAAACGAGACAUGUUAUUCAAACUCGCGCGUUUGAACAUUUAUUUCAACCGGCCUGAAUGGACGACACGAAUCAAAAUUGAGUGACACGCAUCGAAAAUACAAAAAUAUAGCGGCAAAUCGGCUUUUAAUGUUUCAUAAUUCUUAGUGAACGUUCUAUAAUUUUCCCCACGUGAAAAUGUAAUACUGUUGAAAGAUGAUUUUAUUUCGGCUAGAACGGGUUGCAGGGUCGGGAAAAAGUCACUACUCAGAAAUGUCAAUAUUCACAUC